AGCCGCAGUCCUUGGGCCGAAACGUGAUGGGGACAUCGAUGUAGCCUUCCCCGUUCUUCGCAAUGUUAGUAGACUUGCUCAGAUCAGCGCGGCCAAUGCUCACGUCGCAUAGCCAAACCUCAAAGUCAAUGUCAUUAAGGCAUAGGUCGAAGUCGUUCUUGUUUCCCAGCUUCAGAUGAAGAGUGGCAGUGGUUUCCUCGAAUGAGAACUUGUCAAACUGAACCUUCUCGAGAUCGAUUUGUGGUUUGUAAGGGACGGGGAUCUCUCCGGUCUUCUCAAGGGGGAAAGUAAGCCUACCAAACACGGGCACGUCCACAAUGAGGUCGACCUUAACCCUAUAAGGAAUCACACUUCCUGGUUGUAUAUCAUCGUACGUGCUCUUGAUAUCAUCGUAUAUAAGACAAAGUGGCAG
RNAcentral lists this long non-coding RNA (412 nucleotides) under Salvia miltiorrhiza (redroot sage). Its description in RNAcentral is "long non-coding RNA (SMIL_LNC006279)". Lineage: Eukaryota; Viridiplantae; Streptophyta; Magnoliopsida; Lamiales; Lamiaceae. The record is from RNAcentral.